This 551-nucleotide ribosomal RNA is filed under the name Yamadazyma membranifaciens. RNAcentral's name for it is "LSU rRNA". It matches the Rfam family "Eukaryotic large subunit ribosomal RNA", at positions 16 to 550 of the family's 3401-position model. Lineage: Eukaryota; Fungi; Ascomycota; Pichiomycetes; Serinales; Debaryomycetaceae. The record is from RNAcentral.
UAAGAAUACCCGCUGAACUUAAGCAUAUCAAUAAGCGGAGGAAAAGAAACCAACAGGGAUUGCCUUAGUAGCGGCGAGUGAAGCGGCAAUAGCUCAAAUUUGAAAUCUGGCACCUUCGGUGUCCGAGUUGUAAUUUGAAGAAGGUAUCUUUGGUUUUGGCUCUUGUCUAUGUUCCUUGGAACAGGACGUCACAGAGGGUGAGAAUCCCGUGCGAUGAGAUGCCCAAUUCCAUGUAAAGUUCCUUCGACGAGUCGAGUUGUUUGGGAAUGCAGCUCUAAGUGGGUGGUAAAUUCCAUCUAAAGCUAAAUAUUGGCGAGAGACCGAUAGCGAACAAGUACUGUGAAGGAAAGAUGAAAAGAACUUUGAAAAGAGAGUGAAAAAGUACGUGAAAUUGUUGAAAGGGAAGGGCUUGAGAUUAGACUUGGAAUUUUCCAUUUAUGGAGCUUUCCGGGCCAGCAUCAGUUUGGAUGGCAGGAUAAUUGCGUUGGAAAGUAGCACCACUUCGGUGGUGUGUUAUAGACUUCGUCGAUACUGCCUAUCUAGACUGAGGA